This 422-nucleotide ribosomal RNA is filed under the name uncultured bacterium. Its description in RNAcentral is "partial 16S ribosomal RNA". It matches the Rfam family "Bacterial small subunit ribosomal RNA", at positions 360 to 774 of the family's 1533-position model. The record is from RNAcentral.
AAUUUGGGACAAGGGGGGCAACCCUGAUCCAGCCAGCCCGCGAGUGCGAAGAAGGCCUUCGGGAUGUAAAGCACUUUUGGCAGGGAAGAAAAGGCUCUGGAUAAUACCUGGAGCUGCUGACGGUACCUGCAGAAUAAGCAUCGGCUAACUACGUGCCAUCAGCCGCGGUAAUAGGUAGGGUCCAAGCGUUAAUCGGAAUUACUGGGCGGAAGGGGUGCGCAGGCGGUUUGGCAAGAAGGAUGUGAAAUCCCGGGGCUUAACCUCGGACCUGCAUUCUUAACUGCCAGGCUAGAGUAUGUCAGAGGGGGGUAGAAUUCCGAGUGUAGCAGUGAAAUGCGUAGAGAUGCGGAGGAAUACCGAUGGCGAAGGCAGCCCCCUGGGAUAAUACUGACGCUCAGGCACGAAAGCGUGGGGAGCAAACA